AAGUGCUGUCCCCUUCCAGAAGUGCCAUUUCCAGUCAGAUAAAUGGGGGGAAAGGAUCACACCCCAGAAAGGAUAUAUACCCUCACAGUACUUCAACACUUUCAGAAAGUGUACUAGAAAACACAAAAUAUACAAUUUAAAAAACCAGCCCCCGCAAGCUCUAACACCUCAUCAAGAGAAAUACCCUGCACUGUAUUCCCAUAGCUCCCUGGCUGUAACACUACAAAACACUGCAUUUUUUAGCCAAAACUUACUGAAAACAAUUGCUGAGAAUACAGAGAUUUGUUUUUUUCGGACCAUUUAAGAUUUUAACAAACGCAAGGCAUUCGAGGGAGCACACGUCUACGAGAACGGAAAUUCUGAUGGAGCUUUGUCUGUCUGGUUCAGUGGUUUCCCAGCAUGUAGAACAAUGCCCAGCAUAAUAGGAAAAUGUUCCCUGGAAUAAUUCUGCUCCCAUGUGUUUCAAGCCAACUUCUCUUUAAUAUAUGGAAUGGCAUUGCUAAAAACUUAAUAACUCAAACACUCAGGCUAUAGGAUGAAAGACGCCAAAACCAGAUUGAUGUAUUAAUACCUUCAGUUUCCUCUGGGGUAAGAGGAUUGGAGUGGGAACACUCAUCUCUUGCUGUUUGCAACACUUCUUUCCUCCUUGCCUGAAUUUUUCAGGAAAAAAAAUGUUUACUCACAUACCUCCACUGUUACACAAGACAGUGGAAGCUGGAGCCAGAGAAAGGCACAGAGGUGGAUUGAAAGCUGGUAGGAACGGGGUGUGGCAGUUUUAAUAGCAGGGCAGAGGGUAUCUUCAGCGAAGAAAUAAACGCGGGCAUAAUCACCAGUGGCCGAUUGUAGGAAGUGGUGACUAGGUUUCUACUUUGAGCUCUUAGACUGCUGUAUCUCCUAUUUUGUUCCUGCCAUCUGGGAAAUAAAGGACACGCUUUAACUGCUGGGAAGCAGGUAUGCAGGAAGCAAAACUGAGAAAGAGGCUCCGUAACCGUAAAAAAAAUGAAAAAGUGCUGUAAUCCCUCCAGCCUAAAGACGGUUAGCUCUGGUGAGUGUUUUUUCCCUUUUCUAAUUAUAGUAGUUGGUGUCUGAUAGCUUUGCACUCAUUCCCAAAACAAUUACUGGGUCAUGGGGAUCUGAAUGGGAAUGUUGUAAUGGCAUUACUACUAGACAAGACUGGCCAUUUAGCCAGAGAAAACCAGGUUGUGACAGGUUACUCCCACUCAGCAAGGGUUUUCUCUGCUGCCUACUUCGUGCCAAGGGAGUUUCUCUCUGUCUGCGUCUCCUGCCUAAGAGAGCAGAGCACUCA
Cervus elaphus (red deer) is the source of this 1306-nucleotide RNA transcript. It is a transcript of the gene named 60S ribosomal protein L23a-like, with no coding region annotated. Lineage: Eukaryota; Metazoa; Chordata; Mammalia; Artiodactyla; Cervidae. The transcript is spliced from 2 exons. The record is from RefSeq and is a predicted model, not a curated record.